AUGUAAUUGGACACACCCUCUUCUUGCUUUGGUGACCCACAUGUAUUGUGUGCGUGCCCAUGUCCACUGUGUGAGUGAGUGAAGGAGAGAGAACAGUGUGUGUGAGAGUGAGUGAAGGAGAGAGAACAGUGUGUGUGAGAGUGAGUGAGUGAAGGAGAGAGAACAGUGUCGUCUCACUGUGUGAGACUGUGAUGUCAUAGUCUUUGUUCCCUACGCCUGGCUCUGCUCUGACUAUCAAGCUAACCCAGACAGAGUGAGGACUAAGGGGAGAGAGGAAGGAACCGAAGGAGGAGAGGAGAUGGAGCACACUGAUCAUCCUUUGCAGACAGGAGCAGUUAAACAACAUACAAGGCUCAAAUACAUCCCCAGCUUCGACUGACCUGAGGAUCCCACAUCGACAGCAACUCUUCCAUGACCAAAGACUGACCAGCACCACAUUUGAAAAAAUAACACUUUUCAGAGCCAUAGUAAACCAUACUGCCGAUAACCCAUGUACUGACUUGAAGGAGAGAGGGACAAAUAUCCAAUCAAAUCAAACUUUAUUUGUCACAUGCACUGAAUACAACAAGUGUAGACCUUACUGUGAAAUGCUUACUUACAAGCCCUUAAUCAACACUGCAGUUCAAGAAGAGUUAAGAAAAUACCCAAAAUCACAAUAACAAAGCUCUAUACAGCGGGUACCAGCACCGAGUCAGUGUGCGGGGGUACAGGUUAGUUGAGGUCAUUUGUACAUGUAGGCAGGCGUGAAGUGACUAUACAUAGAUAAUAAACAACGGGGAGCAGCAUUGUCCAACACUUCCCCUCCUUACUGGCACUAGAGAAGGACUUUCUAGAUCAGACUAAUAUCUGAUAUCUUUAGUGCAGAAUUAAGAAUCACUGAAGCAUAAGCUACCCUAUAUAUUGUCCUCUGUCUAGGGGCUGAGCUAGGCUUCUCAUCACAGUCCAUCUUGGAAUGGAUGGCGCUGAUGUAAAUAUUGACAUUGUGUGGCUGCCUGUCCUCAUCUGAUCUGUACUAAAAGAGAGAGAAGAGAAAGUUCUGGGAGCUCAUCCAUAACCCUUUGACUCAACUGGCGGUGACCUCAGAGCUGCCCCAGGGGCAGAGUUGGAUGUGAGGCAGCUGUCCGCUGCAGUCGACAUACAACCAACUUUCUCUUUUAUGCCCUCUGUUUGUUCUUUUAUUGUAGCUACACGUCUUUCUCUCUCAUCAAAGAGUUCAGAUAAACACAUUCUAUGCCAGCACUCCUGAGGGAACACGCUCGCUCUCUCACUGGAGGCCUGAGUCCACGCUCGCUCUCUCACUGGAGGCCUGAGUCCACGCUCGCUCUCUCACUGGAGGCCUGAGUCCACGCUCGCUCUCUCACUGGAGGCCUGAGUCCACGCUCGCUCUCUCACUGGAGGCCUGAGUCCACGCUCGCUCUCUCACUGGAGGCCUGAGUCCACGCUCGCGCUCUCACUGGAGGCCUGAGUCCACGCUCGCGCUCUCACUGGAGGCCUGAGUCCACGCUCGCGCUCUCACUGGAGGCCUGAGUCCACGCUCGCGCUCUCACUGGAGGCCUGAGUCAGAUUAUGCCACUGUGCAAGAAGUGUGCGUGUCAGUGACUCUGUCAUGUCUGUGUCUGUCUGUCAAUAAGUGUGAGUGACAUCAGGUAUCUAAUGGUUACCUGUGUCUGUCUGUGUGAAUGAGUGACAUAACGUGUGUGUGUAUAUAUCAGCAUCUAACCUCCACUGUGUGUCAAGUCCACUGUUUG
Oncorhynchus tshawytscha (Chinook salmon) is the source of this 1748-nucleotide long non-coding RNA. The record is from Ensembl. Lineage: Eukaryota; Metazoa; Chordata; Actinopteri; Salmoniformes; Salmonidae.